This is a long non-coding RNA of Vespa velutina, 386 nucleotides long. RefSeq lists it as uncharacterized. The transcript is spliced from 2 exons. The record is from RefSeq and is a predicted model, not a curated record. Lineage: Eukaryota; Metazoa; Arthropoda; Insecta; Hymenoptera; Vespidae.
GUCCUCAGCAAGAACAACAGCAUCACCACCAUCAUCACCACCACCACCAUCACCACCACCAUCAUCACCACAAUCAGCAUCAGCAUCAGCAAUCUCAUUAUGGAUCGGCAAGUCCAACGCGUUCGCGACAGUCUCACGACAAGGAACUUUGAAAUGUCAUAUGCGAAUAGUGACGUUGCGCAUCCAUCGUCGAUUGUUGACCGUACACUACGUCGGACAAGAAUUUAACCAAGCUGGUCGUCUCUCAGGACGAGUCCCGCCUUGCCAGAGUGAAGCGAGUCCUCGCAGGAUCGUUCCUUGGCCGAGGCAGAGGGUCCACGAGAGUGUUCGGUGCUCGGCUAGACUUGAUAGAGUCUUAUCAGGAAACGGGUGUACCCUACGUGGUC